This 955-nucleotide ribosomal RNA is filed under the name uncultured bacterium. RNAcentral's name for it is "bacterial SSU rRNA". It matches the Rfam family "Bacterial small subunit ribosomal RNA", at positions 28 to 1012 of the family's 1533-position model. The record is from RNAcentral.
GAUGAACGCUGGCGGCGUGCCUAACACAUGCAAGUCGAGCGAUUCUCUUCGGAGAAGAGCGGCGGACGGGUGAGUAACGCGUGGGUAACCUGCCCUGUACACACGGAUAACAUACCGAAAGGUAUGCUAAUACGGGAUAAUAUGUUUUUAUCGCAUGGUAAAAAUAUCAAAGCUCCGGCGGUACAGGAUGGACCCGCGUCUGAUUAGCUAGUUGGUAAGGUAACGGCUUACCAAGGCGACGAUCAGUAGCCGACCUGAGAGGGUGAUCGGCCACAUUGGAACUGAGACACGGUCCAAACUCCUACGGGAGGCAGCAGUGGGGAAUAUUGCACAAUGGGCGAAAGCCUGAUGCAGCAACGCCGCGUGAGCGAUGAAGGCCUUCGGGUCGUAAAGCUCUGUCCUCAAGGAAGAUAAUGACGGUACUUGAGGAGGAAGCCCCGGCUAACUACGUGCCAGCAGCCGCGGUAAUACGUAGGGGGCUAGCGUUAUCCGGAAUUACUGGGCGUAAAGGGUGCGUAGGUGGUUUCUUAAGUCAGAGGUGAAAGGCUACGGCUCAACCGUAGUAAGCCUUUGAAACUGAGAAACUUGAGUGCAGGAGAGGAGAGUAGAAUUCCUAGUGUAGCGGUGAAAUGCGUAGAUAUUAGGAGGAAUACCAGUUGCGAAGGCGGCUCUCUGGACUGUAACUGACACUGAGGCACGAAAGCGUGGGGAGCAAACAGGAUUAGAUACCCUGGUAGUCCACGCCGUAAACGAUGAGUACUAGCUGUCGGAGGUUACCCCCUUCGGUGGCGCAGCUAACGCAUUAAGUACUCCGCCUGGGAAGUACGCUCGCAAGAGUGAAACUCAAAGGAAUUGACGGGACCCGCACAAGUAGCGGAGCAUGUGGUUUAAUUCGAAGCAACGCGAAGAACCUUACCUAAGCUUGACAUCCUUUUGACCGAUGCCUAAUCGCAUU